GUUAGAGUGUAGAGGCGGCAGGUAGCCUAGUGGUUAGAGUGUAGAGGAGGUAGGUAUACUAGUGGUUAGAGUGUAGAGGCGGCAGGUAGCCUAGUGGUUAGAGUGUAGAGGAGGUAGGUAGCCUAGUGGUUAGAGUGUAGAGGAGGUAGGUAGCCUAGUGGUUAGAGUGUAGAGGAGGUAGGUAGCCUAGUGGUUAGAGUGUAGAGGAGGUAGGUAGCCUAGUGGUUAGAGUGUAGAGGAGGUAGGUAGCCUAGUGGUUAGAGUGUAGAGGAGGUAGGUAGCCUAGUGGUUAGAGUGUAGAGGAGGUAGGUAGCCUAGUGGUUAGAGUGUAGAGGAGGUAGGUAGCCUAGUGGUUAGAGUGUAGAGGAGGCAGGUAGCCUAGUGGUUAGAGUGUAGAGGUGGCGGGUAGCCUAGUGGUUAGAGUGUAGCGGUGGCAGGUAGCCUAGUGGUUAGAGUGUAGAGGAGGCAGGUAGCCUAGUGGUUAGAGUGUAGAGGAGGCAGGUAUACUAGUGGUUAGAGUGUAGAGGCGGCAGGUAGCCUAGUGGUUAGAGUGUAGAGGAGGUAGGUAGCCUAGUGGUUAGAGUGUAGCGGUGGCAGGUAGCCUAGUGGUUAGAGUGUAGAGGAGGCAGGUACCCUAGUGGUUAGAGUGUAGAGGAGGCAGGUAGCCUAGUGGUUAGAGUAUAGAGGAGGCAGGUAUCCUAGUGGUUAGAGUGUAGGACUAGUAACCGGAAGGUUACAA
Molecule: long non-coding RNA, 739 nt
Organism: Oncorhynchus keta (chum salmon)
Lineage: Eukaryota; Metazoa; Chordata; Actinopteri; Salmoniformes; Salmonidae
Exons: 3
Source: RefSeq, a predicted model, not a curated record